Molecule: ribosomal RNA, 503 nt
Filed under: uncultured bacterium
Lineage: Bacteria
Description: partial 16S ribosomal RNA
Rfam family: Bacterial small subunit ribosomal RNA
Source: RNAcentral
ACUCAAAGGAAUAGACGGGGGCCCGCACAAGCGGUGGAGCAUGUGGUUUAAUUCGACGCAACGCGAAGAACCUUACCCGGGCUCGAAAUGUUGGGGACACCCGUGGAAACACGGUCUUCUUCCUUCGGGAAGACCCCAGUAUAGGUGCUGCAUGGCUGUCGUCAGCUCGUGUCGUGAGAUGUUGGGUUAAGUCCCGCAACGAGCGCAACCCUUGUCGUUUGUUACCAUCGGGUCAUGCCGGGGACUCAAACGAGACUGCCCGCGACAAGCGGGAGGAAGGCGGGGAUGACGUCAAGUCAUCAUGGCCCUUACGUCCGGGGCUACACACGUGCUACAAUGGCCGGUACAAAGAGACGCAAGACCGCGAGGUGGAGCAAAUCUUGAAAACCGGUCCCAGUUCGGAUUGGAGUCUGCAAUUCGACUCCAUGAAGUUGGAAUCGCUAGUAAUCGCGGAUCAGCACGCCGCGGUGAAUACGUUCCCGGGCCUUGUACACACCGCCCGU